GCCUUCGUGGUGUAAUGGCCAGCACACUCGGCGUGAAUUCAAGAGGCCUGAGGUUCGAGUCCUGGCGACGGCU
This 73-nucleotide transfer RNA is filed under the name Stegodyphus mimosarum. It matches the Rfam family "tRNA". From Rfam's summary of the family: Transfer RNA (tRNA) molecules are approximately 80 nucleotides in length. Their secondary structure includes four short double-helical elements and three loops (D, anti-codon, and T loops). Lineage: Eukaryota; Metazoa; Arthropoda; Arachnida; Araneae; Eresidae. The record is from Rfam by way of RNAcentral.